Molecule: non-coding RNA, 145 nt
Filed under: Canis lupus familiaris (dog)
Lineage: Eukaryota; Metazoa; Chordata; Mammalia; Carnivora; Canidae
Also listed under: 1 other name
Description: microRNA cfa-mir-8791a precursor
Rfam family: mir-8791 microRNA precursor family (bases 34-110)
Source: miRBase by way of RNAcentral
CGCCGAUCUGCACAGCUCGGAGCUCGGGGCGGCAGGAGAGUCCUCGGUGUCCUGUGCCCUCCCGGCCUCCACCUGUCCCGGGGCGAGCGCAGGAUCCUGGGCUGUGUCCCCCGCGCCCUGGGACCCCGGGUCUGCGUCGCUGGGA